Molecule: ribosomal RNA, 460 nt
Filed under: uncultured bacterium
Lineage: Bacteria
Description: partial 16S ribosomal RNA
Rfam family: Bacterial small subunit ribosomal RNA
Source: RNAcentral
CCUACGGGAGGCAGCAGUGAGGAAUAUUGGUCAAUGGACGAGAGUCUGAACCAGCCAAGUAGCGUGAAGGAUGACUGCCCUAUGGGUUGUAAACUUCUUUUAUAUGGGAAUAAAACGUUCCACGUGUGGGAUUUUGUAUGUACCAUAUGAAUAAGGAUCGGCUAACUCCGUGCCAGCAGCCGCGGUAAUACGGAGGAUCCGAGCGUUAUCCGGAUUUAUUGGGUUUAACGGGGGCGUAGGUGGAUUGUUAAGUCAGUUGUGAAAGUUUGCGGCUCAACCGUAAAAUUGCAGUUGAAACUGGCAGUCUUGAGUGCAGUAGAGGUGGGCGGAAUUCGUGGUGUAGCGGUGAAAUGCUUAGAUAUCACGAAGAACUCCGAUUGCGAAGGCAGUUCACUGGACUGCAACUGACACUGAGGCUCGAAAGUGUGGGUAUCAAACAGGAUUAGAUACCCGAGUAGUC